UUAAUUGAAGAGUUUGAUCAUGGCUCAGAUUGAACGCUGGCGGCAGGCCUAACACAUGCAAGUCGAGCGGCAGCACAGAGGAACUUGUUCCUUGGGUGGCGAGCGGCGGACGGGUGAGUAAUGCCUGGGAAAUUGCCCGGUAGAGGGGGAUAACCAUUGGAAACGAUGGCUAAUACCGCAUAACCUCGCAAGAGCAAAGCAGGGGACCUUCGGGCCUUGCGCUACCGGAUAUGCCCAGGUGGGAUUAGCUAGUUGGUGAGGUAAGGGCUCACCAAGGCGACGAUCCCUAGCUGGUCUGAGAGGAUGAUCAGCCACACUGGAACUGAGACACGGUCCAGACUCCUACGGGAGGCAGCAGUGGGGAAUAUUGCACAAUGGGCGCAAGCCUGAUGCAGCCAUGCCGCGUGUAUGAAGAAGGCCUUCGGGUU
RNAcentral lists this ribosomal RNA (428 nucleotides) under Vibrio cholerae. RNAcentral describes it as "bacterial SSU rRNA". It matches the Rfam family "Bacterial small subunit ribosomal RNA", at positions 1 to 424 of the family's 1533-position model. Lineage: Bacteria; Pseudomonadati; Pseudomonadota; Gammaproteobacteria; Vibrionales; Vibrionaceae. The record is from RNAcentral.